RNAcentral lists this ribosomal RNA (253 nucleotides) under uncultured bacterium. RNAcentral describes it as "partial 16S ribosomal RNA". It matches the Rfam family "Bacterial small subunit ribosomal RNA", at positions 524 to 776 of the family's 1533-position model. The record is from RNAcentral.
UACGGGGGGGGCAAGCGUUGUUCGGAAUCACUGGGCGUAAAGCGUGCGUAGGCGGUCCGCUGUGUCCCGUGUGAAAUCCCCGGGCUCAACCUGGGAACUGCAUUGGUGACUGGCAGGCUAGAGUAUGGCAGAGGGGGGUAGAAUUCCACGUGUAGCAGUGAAAUGCGUAGAGAUGUGGAGGAAUACCGAUGGCGAAGGCAGCCCCCUGGGCCAAUACUGACGCUCAUGCACGAAAGCGUGGGGAGCAAACAGG